This 492-nucleotide ribosomal RNA is filed under the name uncultured bacterium. RNAcentral describes it as "partial 16S ribosomal RNA". It matches the Rfam family "Bacterial small subunit ribosomal RNA", at positions 29 to 507 of the family's 1533-position model. The record is from RNAcentral.
AGUGAACGCUGGCGGUAGGCCUAACACAUGCAAGUCGAACGGCAGCACAGUAAGAGCUUGCUCUUACGGGUGGCGAGUGGCGGACGGGUGAGGAAUACAUCGGAAUCUACUUUUUCGUGGGGGAUAACGUAGGGAAACUUACGCUAAUACCGCAUACGACCUACGGGUGAAAGCAGGGGAUCUUCGGACCUUGCGCGAUUGAAUGAGCCGAUGUCGGAUUAGCUAGUUGGCGGGGUAAAGGCCCACCAAGGCGACGAUCCGUAGCUGGUCUGAGAGGAUGAUCAGCCACGCUGGAACUGAGACACGGUCCAGACUCCUACGGGAGGCAGCAGUGGGGAAUAUUGGACAAUGGGCGCAAGCCUGAUCCAGCCAUACCGCGUGGGUGAAGAAGGCCUUCGGGUUGUAAAGCCCUUUUGUUUGGAAAGAAAAGCAGCAGGUUAAUACCCCGCUGUUCUGACGGUACCCAAAGAAUAAGCACCGGCUAACUUCGUG